UACGAAGGGGGCUAGCGUUGCUCGGAAUCACUGGGCGUAAAGCGCACGUAGGCGGACUCUUAAGUCGGUGGUGAAAUCCUGGAGCUCAACUCCAGAACUGCCUUCGAUACUGGGAGUCUCGAGUCCGAGAGAGGUGAGUGGAACUGCGAGUGUAGAGGUGAAAUUCGUAGAUAUUCGGCAAGAACACCAGUGGCGAAGGCGGCUCACUGGCUCGGUACUGACGCUGAGGUGCGAAAGCGUGGGGAGCGAACAGG
RNAcentral lists this ribosomal RNA (254 nucleotides) under uncultured bacterium. RNAcentral's name for it is "partial 16S ribosomal RNA". It matches the Rfam family "Bacterial small subunit ribosomal RNA", at positions 524 to 776 of the family's 1533-position model. The record is from RNAcentral.